CUCGGUUACAAUGAUGCUCGAAGCGAACGGUGAAAAUCGAACAGCAUUCGAAAUUGCAAAAUUCUAUCGAUGGCCUUACGCGAACGACGAAAGCGUGUAACACGGUAUAACAUUUAAUGUACAGCAUGUUGAGCGCGGACGUCCGAAACGUAAUUUUCAGUUGAGAGACUACGUUGAACCAUGUUUUCGGACACGUGUUUAAAGAAUAUAUAUAACGGGUACGAGAACACAACCGGUACACAAAGACAGAGCUAUGACAGGUUCGUAUUAUUAUGCCUCUAUUCGAUUAUUUUACCAUAAUAUGGCGUACGUGUCGUUGACAAAGUAUCAAUAACAUUUGAACUCCGCUCAGAAUCGUUUUUUUUUUUUCGUUAGCAACGGUUAACCGUUUCUAACAGAUACACGUUGAAUUAUCUACAACAGUGGCUGCAUCCGUCCCCGUUAUCCUAAGACGUUUUUAUUCGAGUGUAUAUCUUGAGGUUGUUUUAAAUUAUAACCACUCGUAUACGGUAUAUACGCAAUUAUUAAAUAUACCGAAUAUUAUAGCGCUUGGUCACGUUUUUUUUUUCGAAUUGUUGG
This is a non-coding RNA of Cinara cedri, 579 nucleotides long. The record is from the annotation of a GenBank genome assembly. NCBI's taxonomy places the organism in Eukaryota, Metazoa, Arthropoda, Insecta, Hemiptera, Aphididae.